Molecule: ribosomal RNA, 625 nt
Filed under: Bacillus subtilis
Lineage: Bacteria; Bacillati; Bacillota; Bacilli; Caryophanales; Bacillaceae
Description: bacterial SSU rRNA
Rfam family: Bacterial small subunit ribosomal RNA
Source: RNAcentral
GAGCGGACAGAUGGGAGCUUGCUCCUGAUGUUAGCGGCGGACGGGUGAGUACACGUGGGUAACCUGCCUGUAAGACUGGGAUAACUCCGGGAAACCGGGGCUAAUACCGGAUGGUUGUUUGAACCGCAUGGUUCAAACAUAAAAGGUGGCUUCGGCUACCACUUACAGAUGGACCCGCGGCGCAUUAGCUAGUUGGUGAGGUAACGGCUCACCAAGGCAACGAUGCGUAGCCGACCUGAGAGGGUGAUCGGCCACACUGGGACUGAGACACGGCCCAGACUCCUACGGGAGGCAGCAGUAGGGAAUCUUCCGCAAUGGACGAAAGUCUGACGGAGCAACGCCGCGUGAGUGAUGAAGGUUUUCGGAUCGUAAAGCUCUGUUGUUAGGGAAGAACAAGUACCGUUCGAAUAGGGCGGUACCUUGACGGUACCUAACCAGAAAGCCACGGCUAACUACGUGCCAGCAGCCGCGGUAAUACGUAGGUGGCAAGCGUUGUCCGGAAUUAUUGGGCGUAAAGGGCUCGCAGGCGGUUUCUUAAGUCUGAUGUGAAAGCCCCCGGCUCAACCGGGGAGGGUCAUUGGAAACUGGGAACUUGAGUGCANAAGAGGAGAGUGGAAUUCCACGU